This 1158-nucleotide ribosomal RNA is filed under the name Kocuria rosea. RNAcentral's name for it is "bacterial SSU rRNA". It matches the Rfam family "Bacterial small subunit ribosomal RNA", at positions 54 to 1222 of the family's 1533-position model. Lineage: Bacteria; Bacillati; Actinomycetota; Actinomycetes; Micrococcales; Micrococcaceae. The record is from RNAcentral.
CAUGCAAGUCGAACGAUGAUGCCCAGCUUGCUGGGCGGAUUAGUGGCGAACGGGUGAGUAAUACGUGAGUAACCUGCCCUUGACUCUGGGAUAAGCCUGGGAAACUGGGUCUAAUACUGGAUACUACUUCCUGCCGCAUGGUGGGUGGUGGAAAGGGUUUUACUGGUUUUGGAUGGGCUCACGGCCUAUCAGCUUGUUGGUGGGGUAAUGGCUCACCAAGGCGACGACGGGUAGCCGGCCUGAGAGGGUGACCGGCCACACUGGGACUGAGACACGGCCCAGACUCCUACGGGAGGCAGCAGUGGGGAAUAUUGCACAAUGGGCGGAAGCCUGAUGCAGCGACGCCGCGUGAGGGAUGACGGCCUUCGGGUUGUAAACCUCUUUCAGUAGGGAAGAAGCGAGAGUGACGGUACCUGCAGAAGAAGCGCCGGCUAACUACGUGCCAGCAGCCGCGGUAAUACGUAGGGCGCAAGCGUUGUCCGGAAUUAUUGGGCGUAAAGAGCUCGUAGGCGGUUUGUCGCGUCUGCUGUGAAAGCCCGGGGCUCAACCCCGGGUCUGCAGUGGGUACGGGCAGACUAGAGUGCAGUAGGGGAGACUGGAAUUCCUGGUGUAGCGGUGAAAUGCGCAGAUAUCAGGAGGAACACCGAUGGCGAAGGCAGGUCUCUGGGCUGUUACUGACGCUGAGGAGCGAAAGCAUGGGGAGCGAACAGGAUUAGAUACCCUGGUAGUCCAUGCCGUAAACGUUGGGCACUAGGUGUGGGGGACAUUCCACGUUUUCCGCGCCGUAGCUAACGCAUUAAGUGCCCCGCCUGGGGAGUACGGCCGCAAGGCUAAAACUCAAAGGAAUUGACGGGGGCCCGCACAAGCGGCGGAGCAUGCGGAUUAAUUCGAUGCAACGCGAAGAACCUUACCAAGGCUUGACAUUCACCGGACCGCCCCAGAGAUGGGGUUUCCCUUCGGGGCUGGUGGACAGGUGGUGCAUGGUUGUCGUCAGCUCGUGUCGUGAGAUGUUGGGUUAAGUCCCGCAACGAGCGCAACCCUCGUUCUAUGUUGCCAGCACGUGAUGGUGGGGACUCAUAGGAGACUGCCGGGGUCAACUCGGAGGAAGGUGGGGAUGACGUCAAAUCAUCAUGCCCCUUAUGUCUUGGGCUUCACGCA